UUGAUGCAAAUGAUGACUACAUAGUUCAGCAGAAAAUCCAUGUAGAACACCGAGCAAUGUCUUUCACUCCUAGCUGACACCAU
Molecule: small nucleolar RNA, 83 nt
Organism: Myxocyprinus asiaticus (Chinese sucker)
Lineage: Eukaryota; Metazoa; Chordata; Actinopteri; Cypriniformes; Catostomidae
Product: small nucleolar RNA snR60/Z15/Z230/Z193/J17
Exons: 1
Source: RefSeq, a predicted model, not a curated record